CGUUUAGGGGUAAACCUGAGAAACCCGAAAGGUCGAAGGGAGAAAUUCAUUCGCGUUUCGCGACAGGAGGCGGGCGGUCGAGCGACGGGUAGUACAGUAUACGCUAUCUCGCCUCUUUCGCCCGUUCGAGCCGGUCGCGAACGCGUGCACUUUUUUCCUGGUAGGACGUCGCGAUCCGUCGAGCGUCGGUCUACGGCUCGCGGUGGAGCCCGUCCGUCGAUUUCGGUCGUACGGACGGACCCGCGUUGUCCCGUCCGACUCGCUCGACGGUAUACGAAAGGUUAGGGGCCGCUCUCGGAGCGUCCGACCGGCGACAAGUACUUAUCGGAGUAUCGACGACCGGACCUAGUGCCGAUCUCGAUCUACGGUACCUGUUGGUCGCCGAGUUCUUGGACAGACCUCUUUACACACCGAUCUGCGACGCUAUAGCUUUGGGUACUUUCAGGACCCGUCUUGAAACACGGACCAAGGAGUCUAGCAUGUGCGCGAGUCAUUGGGAAUCGCUAAACCUAAAGGCGUAAUGAAAGUAAAAAUCUUCCGAGCGAAGAUCUAGGGAGGACGGGCGGUUCGCCCUUAAAAGCGGCCGUUCUGCACUCCCGGGGCGUCUCGUUCUCAUCGCGAGAAGAGGCGCACCAAGAGCGUACACGCUGGGACCCGAAAGAUGGUGAACUAU
RNAcentral lists this ribosomal RNA (673 nucleotides) under Micracis swainei. Its description in RNAcentral is "eukaryotic LSU rRNA". It matches the Rfam family "Eukaryotic large subunit ribosomal RNA", at positions 406 to 834 of the family's 3401-position model. Lineage: Eukaryota; Metazoa; Arthropoda; Insecta; Coleoptera; Curculionidae. The record is from RNAcentral.